This 84-nucleotide transfer RNA is filed under the name Verrucomicrobia bacterium ADurb.Bin018. Its description in RNAcentral is "tRNA-Leu". It matches the Rfam family "tRNA". From Rfam's summary of the family: Transfer RNA (tRNA) molecules are approximately 80 nucleotides in length. Their secondary structure includes four short double-helical elements and three loops (D, anti-codon, and T loops). RNAcentral also lists the same sequence under 1 other name. Lineage: Bacteria; Pseudomonadati; Verrucomicrobiota. The record is from RNAcentral.
GCUCGGGUGGUGGAAUGGCAGACACGCAUGUUUGAGGGGCAUGUGGCGCAAGCCGUGCAGGUUCAAGUCCUGUCCCGAGCACCA